Eriocheir sinensis (Chinese mitten crab) is the source of this 1417-nucleotide long non-coding RNA. RefSeq lists it as uncharacterized. Lineage: Eukaryota; Metazoa; Arthropoda; Malacostraca; Decapoda; Varunidae. The transcript has 2 exons. The record is from RefSeq and is a predicted model, not a curated record.
UCCCUGCAAGUGCUGUAUGUAUGUGUGUGUAUGCAUGGAACAUUACUAAAGGGGGCAGACAUAGAGAAAUAAAACCAUAAAUUCUAGUAUACAUUAGGUUGUGUUCCACUAAUACAACUCGCCCAAGACUGUGCUGUAUAAGUCACCCGCUGUAUUUAUAUUAUUUGUAUAUCAGUAUUAUUGGUGGUGUGUAUGUUAGGUUGGGGUGCAUUUCCAGAGUCUCACACUCGGCAUAUUGUAUUUUCCUUUUCCUGACCCGUAACUAUCACAAAAGAGGUAUCUCCUCAUUGUAUUUUCCUUUUCCUGACCCGUAACUAUCACAAAAAAGGUAUCUCCUCAUUGUAUUUUCCUUUUCCUGACCCGUAACUAUCACAAAAAAGGUAUCUCCUCAUUGUAUUUUCCUUUUCCUGACCCGUAACUAUCACAAAAAAGGUAUCUCCUCAUUGUAUUUUCCUUUUCCUGACCCGUAACUAUCACAAAAAAGGUAUCUCCUCAUUGUAUUUUCCAUUUUCUGAUCCGUAACUAUCACAAAGAGGCAUCUGCACAUUGUAUUUUCUGUUUUCUGACCCAUAACUAUUGUUAGAAAGGCAUUUCCACAUUGUAUAUCCCGUUUUCUGACCCGUAACUAUCGCAAAAAGGCAUCUAUGCAUUGUAUAUUCCGUUUUCUGUCCCAUAACUAUCUCAAAAAAGCGUCUAUUUGACAGCUUUGAUGAUAACCUUAGCCAGCUGCCAUUACUUAUGUUGGUAUGACAUAUAGUUGGAAAUUACAAUGCUCUGAGAGUGAUAAUUUGCUAACGCUGGCUUGGGUCCGGUUGUGUGCAUGUGCUUGUGUGUGUUUGAGUUUUUUAUGCACAAACUGACAUACGUACAUGCGUGUGUGUGUGUAUCUAUGUAUAUUAUAUCUGAGGUUGUCGAAGUUCUCAGCUGUAAGUUAUUCUCUAAAGCAUUGUUGAUUGGCGGUUUGAGAAGUGUGAUUAUAUACUUUAUGAGUGAAGUAAGUAAGUUUAUAUACCAUAGUAACCAUCUAAAUAAUAAUGGUGUGUGUGUUUUGUAUUGAGUGUGUGUCUGUGUGUGUGUGUGUGUGUGUGUGUGUGUGAGAGAGAGAGAGAGAGAGAGAGAGUAUCCACUCAUUUAAUUUGUAUAUAAUGACUGACUGACUGAAUGAAUGAUGGUAAUUGAAUUCAGUCAGUAUUACAUUUGUUGGCAUUAAUAAUUCACAGAUUAAUAGUAAUAAUAAUAAUAAGCUUAAUAUGGGCAUACAGGAUGAUGAUAAUGAGAGAAGAAUAUUUGUAAAUGAAGAAUAUUUGUUAAGAAGAAGAUUGUAUUCCUGCCUCUUGUGAUUGAAGGAAGGCUGAGUCAGUAGGAGUUUGAUGUCUGUGCGGUUUGAAAAUGCAAAAUAUAUUGUAAACACAGUCUC